AUAAGAAGCAAUUAUGCACUUAGUUUCGACCUAAAUUUAGAUAAAAUUAUCCUUAU
RNAcentral lists this transfer RNA (56 nucleotides) under Trigonopterus sp. 7 AH-2016. Its description in RNAcentral is "tRNA-Arg". Lineage: Eukaryota; Metazoa; Arthropoda; Insecta; Coleoptera; Curculionidae. The record is from RNAcentral.